AAUGGCUGAUUUUCACCUUGUCAGCUUAGGGAUUCGAUCUUGCAACCUUUGGGUUACUAGUCCAACGCUCUAACCACUAGGCAUCCUGCCGCCCGAUUGUGUCGAGGCACAGAUCUGGGGAAGGGUACCAAAAAAUUACUGCAGCAUUGUUAAACGGAAGAAGUUUGGAACCACCAAGACUCUUCCUAGAGCUGGCCGCUGGGCCAAACUGAGCAUUCGGGGGAGAAGGGCCUUAGUCAGGGAGGUGACCAAGAACCCAAUGGUUAUUCUGACAGAGCUCUAGAGUUCCUCUGUGGAGAUGGGAGAAAAUUCCAGAAGGACAACCAGGCCUUUAUGGUAGAGUGGCCAGAUGAAAGCCACUCCUCAGUAAAAGGCACAUGAAAUCCCACUUGGAGUUUGCCAAAAGGUACCUAAAGACAUGAGAAAGAUUCUCUGGUCUGAUGAAACCAAGAUUGAACUCUUUGGCCUGAAUGGCAAGCGUCACUUCUGGAGGAAACCUGGCACCAUUCGUACGGUGAAGCAUGGUGGUGGCAGCAUCAUGCUGUGAGGAUGUUUUCAGCGGUAGGGACUGGGAUACUAGUCAGGAUCGAGGAAAGAUGAACGAAGCAAAAAACAGAGAGAUCCUUGAAAACCUGCUCCAGAGUGCUCAGGAACUCAGACUGGGGUGAAGGUUCACCUUCCAACAGGACAACGACCCUAAGCACACAGCCAAGACAACGCAGGAGUAGCUUCGGGACAAGUCUCUGAAUGUCCAAAUACAGGAGUACCAAGCUUGUAGCGUCAUACCCAAGAAGACUCGAGGUUGUAAUUGCUGCCAAAAGGUGCUUCGACAAAGUACCGAGUAAAGGGUCUGAAUUACUUAUGUGAAUGUGAUCAGUUUAAAAAAACAAAAACAUUUGCAAAUAAUGUCUAAAAACCUGUUUUUGCUUUUUCUUAUGGGGUAUUGUGUGUAGAUUGAUGAGGUGAAAAAACAAUUGAAUACAUUUUAGAAUAAGGCUGGAACGUGACAAAAUGUGGAAAAAGUCAAGGGGUCUGAAUACUUUCCGAAAGCACUGUAAUUCUACGGGUUCCUAUUCAUGCACAAAUUGCACAUUAUCCCCCUGCGUUCAUGCCUUGAUAUAGUUUUUACUUCUUGUAUAACUGCAUUGCAAUAAUAUAUCAUUUCCAAGUUUGGACAGUGCUCUUUAUUUCAUAGCUGGAUUCACACAUCUGAAUUUGUGGUCACUGACAAAAUGUCAGUUUUUACAUUGUUCUCAUAUCCUGUACUAAAUGUAAACUUGGUUUUUAUAAUGGAUAAAUAAAGUAUGUUUUGUAUAUUUCUUUUAAACAUUUAGAUUUGAAAGGGGAGGUGCUUUUACAAGCCUCUUGUUUUUUUUAUGUCUCCUGCACAUGUGCAUUUAUUUAGUCUUUUAAUUAUCAUAAUAUUGUCUUUUUCUUGUUUAAAUAAACAUUUAAUAAUGUAACAUAUGUACUUAACAUGGAAAAUAUGCAGUGGUCAAUCUUGAGAAAUAACCAUUAAAACGUUAAAAUACAAUGAUUGUCUCGAAUACAGUAUGUUGAAUGAUAGACCAUGUUAUAUGUAUGAAUUUUAUCAAACUAAGUGUGUAUGUACAAACACAUGCACACGCCCAUGCUUCAGUAAUAGUCAGAAGUUCCUCAUAUGAACGAAAAUGUGACUGAGGUCUGACCUUAGUUCCCAGUCAGCCAGACAAUUUACAGAGCAAAGAUGUUCAUAUACCUUAACUUUCUAAUCCUUGGGUAUAUCUACAAUACCUGCGCUGGGUUACUCCAAAAGACAAUACCCGAGAAACAAACAGUAACCUUGAUCUGUAAUCACCCUGUGGGAAGUUGCGUAACAUGGAGCAGAGAAUUAGAUUGCAAGACAGUAGACAUUGUCACUAUUCAAGAUGGAGUCAAUGACAGAAAGCACAUUUCUGAUCCAGGCAACCAUUAUGGCUCAAUAAUAGACAAGUCAUUGGUUAUAGUGAGUUCGAAAGCCUCAGACUCUGGGACCUACUUCUGCAACAUGCAACCAACAGUAUAUCUAAGAGUGACAUCAAACAAUGGCAAGAGUGUCCCAAUAACCAACUGUUCUGGAGAGAGAAGACCAAACACCAAACACAAUAAUACUAAGCAAGUGUUGGUUGGUGUAGUUUCUGGUUUUGGGGUGCUUCUGUUAAUGAGCAUCUUCAUCUGGAGAUAUUUCUCAAAAAGAAGAGCAGUAAGGGCUGAAGCGGAAGGCAAGAACAUUGCAGACGACCACAUCUAUGCUGUCAUACAGGAUCAUGGGGCCAGGCCGAUAGCAGAACGCAGCACUCAGGGUCAGAGUCAGUCUAUAUAUCACCUGGCAGGUGUUCCAGGAAUGAAAGGUGAAGGUACUCCUAAACAAAGUGAAUCCCCUUAUGUCAUGCUCCAUAUUCCGCAAACUGAAGUCACAACAGUGAGGGCAUGAACUCCUUCGCAAUAAAUCUACAGGAAAUGAUCAUGACGAGUCUUUGCAAGUCACUCUGAGUCAUUAAGACAUUACUUUGUUUUUUCACACGGCUAUUUGAUAUUGGUGUAUUUUCUCCAUCCAGUAGCCUUGAUGUGUGUGAACUUGUUUUGCCUCAGAAUACUGGAGUAUGUAUAUGUCACCUUAAAUGAGAUAAGUUCCUUUUUCAUGAUCUAACUGGAAUGGUCAGUGAAUUGCUUAGCUUUUAAUGCAGGAAUAGUAAACACAAUUCUUGUAUACACACACAAUCAAUCACACACUGCCAAAAUACAGUGCAUUCGCAAAGUAUUCAGAC
Oncorhynchus nerka (sockeye salmon) is the source of this 2786-nucleotide long non-coding RNA. RefSeq lists it as uncharacterized. Lineage: Eukaryota; Metazoa; Chordata; Actinopteri; Salmoniformes; Salmonidae. The transcript is spliced from 2 exons. The record is from RefSeq and is a predicted model, not a curated record.